ACAGCAGCAGCCGCGGUAAUACGAAGGGUGCAAGCGUUACUCGGAAUUACUGGGCGUAAAGCGCGCGUAGGUGGUUGUUUAAGUCUGUUGUGAAAGCCCUGGGCUCAACCUGGGAAUUGCAGUGGAUACUGGGCGACUAGAGUGUGGUAGAGGGUAGUGGAAUUCCCGGUGUAGCAGUGAAAUGCGUAGAGAUCGGGAGGAACAUCCAUGGCGAAGGCAGCUACCUGGACCAACACUGACACUGAGAGACGAAAGCUAGGGGAGCAAAUGGGAUUAGAUACCCCAGUAGUCCCUGUCUCUUAUAC
This 305-nucleotide ribosomal RNA is filed under the name uncultured bacterium. RNAcentral's name for it is "partial 16S ribosomal RNA". It matches the Rfam family "Bacterial small subunit ribosomal RNA", at positions 505 to 807 of the family's 1533-position model. The record is from RNAcentral.